GAUGAACGCUGGCGGCGUGCCUAAUACAUGCCAGUCGAGCGAACAGACGAGGAGCUUGCUCCUCUGACGUUAGCGGCGGACGGGUGAGUAACACGUGGAUAACCUACCUAUAAGACUGGGAUAACUUCGGGAAACCGGAGCUAAUACCGGAUAAUAUAUUGAACCGCAUGGUUCAAUAGUGAAAGACGGUUUUGCUGUCACUUAUAGAUGGAUCCGCGCCGCAUUAGCUAGUUGGUAAGGUAACGGCUUACCAAGGCAACGAUGCGUAGCCGACCUGAGAGGGUGAUCGGCCACACUGGAACUGAGACACGGUCCAGACUCCUACGGGAGGCAGCAGUAGGGAAUCUUCCGCAAUGGGCGAAAGCCUGACGGAGCAACGCCGCGUGAGUGAUGAAGGUCUUCGGAUCGUAAAACUCUGUUAUUAGGGAAGAACAAAUGUGUAAGUAACUAUGCACGUCUUGACGGGACCUAAUCAGAAAGCCACGGCUAACUACGU
This 496-nucleotide ribosomal RNA is filed under the name uncultured bacterium. RNAcentral describes it as "partial 16S ribosomal RNA". It matches the Rfam family "Bacterial small subunit ribosomal RNA", at positions 28 to 506 of the family's 1533-position model. The record is from RNAcentral.